Molecule: ribosomal RNA, 482 nt
Filed under: uncultured bacterium
Lineage: Bacteria
Description: bacterial SSU rRNA
Rfam family: Bacterial small subunit ribosomal RNA
Source: RNAcentral
GACGAACACUGGCGGCGUGCUUAACACAUGCAAGUCGAGCGGGGACUUAAAUUGGAAGGCUUCGGCUGGAAGAUUUGAGUUCUAGCGGCGGACGGGUGAGUAACGCGUGAGCAAUCUGUCCUACACAGGGGGAUAACAGAUGGAAACAUCUGCUAAUACCGCAUAAGACCACGAAGUCGCAUGGCUUUGAGGUAAAAGAAUUAUCGGUGUAGGGUGAGCUCGCGUCUGAUUAGCUAGUUGGUGAGGUAACGGCCCACCAAGGCGACGAUCAGUAGCCGACCUGAGAGGUUGAACGGCCACAUUGGAACUGAGAAACGGUCCAGACUCCUACGGGAGGCAGCAGUGGGGAAUAUUGGGCAAUGGACGAAAGUCUGACCCAGCGACGCCGCGUGAGGGAAGAAGGUCUUCGGAUUGUAAAACCUCUGUUGAUAGGGAAGAAGAAAGUGACGGUACCUAUCGAGGAAGCCACGGCUAACUACGUG